RNAcentral lists this ribosomal RNA (253 nucleotides) under uncultured bacterium. RNAcentral's name for it is "partial 16S ribosomal RNA". It matches the Rfam family "Bacterial small subunit ribosomal RNA", at positions 524 to 776 of the family's 1533-position model. The record is from RNAcentral.
GCCGAACCGUCCAAACGUUAUUCGGAAUUACUGGGCUUAAAGGGUGCGUAGGCGGUGCGGAAAGUUGGGUGUGAAAUCCCUCGGCUUAACCGAGGAACUGCGCUCAAAACUACCGUGCUGGAGGAAGACAGAGGUGAGCGGAACUAAGGGUGGAGCGGUGAAAUGCGUUGAUAUCCUUAGGAACACCGGUGGCGAAAGCGGCUCACUGGGUCUUUUCUGACGCUGAGGCACGAAAGCUAGGGGAGCGAACGGG